GAUGAAGAACGUAGCGAAAUGCGAUACUUGGUGUGAAUUGCAGAAUCCCGUGAACCAUCGAGUCUUUGAACGCAAGUUGCGCCCGAAGCCAUUAGGCCGAGGGCACGCCUGCCUAGGCGUCACACGUCGUUGCCCCCCCAUCUACUCCUUCGGGAUUGCGGGGGGCGGAUGAUGGCCUCCCGUGCGCCUCGUCGCGCGGUUGGCAUAAAUGCCAAGUCCUCGGCGACGCACGCCACGACAAUCGGUGGUUGCGAAACCUCGGUUGCCCGUCGUGUGCGGUCGUCGCGCAUCGAGGGCUCGAAAAAAUUGCCGGGCUCCGGCUCGGCUUUCAACGCGACCCCAGGUCAGGCGGGGUUACCCGCUGAAUUUAAGCAUAUCAAUAAGCGGAGGA
RNAcentral lists this unclassified non-coding RNA (391 nucleotides) under soil metagenome. Its description in RNAcentral is "partial contains 5.8S ribosomal RNA, internal transcribed spacer 2, and large subunit ribosomal RNA". The stretch from base 1 to 122 matches the Rfam family "5.8S ribosomal RNA", at positions 35 to 154 of the family's 154-position model. The record is from RNAcentral.